Molecule: signal recognition particle RNA, 233 nt
Filed under: human gut metagenome
Description: Bacterial large signal recognition particle RNA
Rfam family: Bacterial large signal recognition particle RNA
About the family: The signal recognition particle (SRP) is a universally conserved ribonucleoprotein involved in the co-translational targeting of proteins to membranes. Archaeal SRP consists of a 7S RNA and homologues of the eukaryotic SRP19 and SRP54 proteins.
Source: RNAcentral
CCGUGCUAGCCGGGGAGAUAGCGGUUCCCUGUACCUGCAAUCCGCUAUAGCAGGGGUGAUGUUCUGUUUCGGGUCUAUGGCUUGCAAAGCUGCCCUUUGUAAGUGGCGUUGACGCUUUGGUCUUGCGCAAUGGAAACUCAUGAACCGUGUCAGGAGGGGAACCUAGCAGCACUAAGUGAGAUCUUCCGUGUGCCGCGAGGUUGCCGGGGCUGAGUUAACUGCAAAGGUAACGU